Molecule: long non-coding RNA, 253 nt
Filed under: Mytilus galloprovincialis (Mediterranean mussel)
Lineage: Eukaryota; Metazoa; Mollusca; Bivalvia; Mytilida; Mytilidae
Source: RNAcentral
GCAUAUUAUUCUCCGGAUUUUAACACAGUAUCUUCACAACCUUAUUAUAUUUGUAAGCAUUGAAUAUGUGCCACCCUUAAAUGAUUUCACAACAGCAAGUUCUAUUAAAGAACAUGUACAUUUACCUAAACGAUUAACAAUCGAACAGUCAGUUAAAUCAUUAUUAGUCAGUAACUUGUAGACCAUCAUAGAGAAAUCAUAGCCUUAACCCUAAUCCGCUACUUAACGCAGUAGUUAACUGAAGAAAAAAAAA